Molecule: transfer-messenger RNA, 361 nt
Filed under: Rhodobium orientis
Lineage: Bacteria; Pseudomonadati; Pseudomonadota; Alphaproteobacteria; Hyphomicrobiales; Rhodobiaceae
Description: Alphaproteobacteria transfer-messenger RNA
Rfam family: Alphaproteobacteria transfer-messenger RNA
About the family: Bacterial tmRNA, also known as 10Sa RNA or SsrA, is named for its dual tRNA and mRNA-like properties. Its role is to liberate the mRNA from a stalled ribosome.
Source: Rfam by way of RNAcentral
CCCUUUGCAUGUCGAACCGGCUUUUCCUAUAUUGGGGGAGCCGGUUUGCCGGCUAUGGCGAUAAAUGACCGUCGCAAUAAACCUAUCGGACCCGGGGGCGGUACCCGGCGCCUCCACCACAGCCCAAAGGGCCUUCGAUCUUUGGGUUGCGGCGGGGGCGAAAUAGGAUCGACGAGGGUGUAAAGGGCGCGUUUUCGCUCGGCAUGGUUCCGCCGUUAUCGGGCCAUCUCAAUAGUUGCAAAUGACAACUAUGCUGAGGCUCGUCUCGCUGCGUAACGCAGUGCGAUAACCUCUUUUGAAGCCCUGGCCGUUAGCCCGGUCAGGCGGGGUUCGGGAGCACCUGGCAACAGAAGCUCCCACU